This 490-nucleotide ribosomal RNA is filed under the name uncultured bacterium. RNAcentral describes it as "bacterial SSU rRNA". It matches the Rfam family "Bacterial small subunit ribosomal RNA", at positions 903 to 1397 of the family's 1533-position model. The record is from RNAcentral.
AAAUGAAUUGACGGGGACCCGCACAAGCAGUGGAGUAUGUGGUUUAAUUCGAGGCUACGCGAUGAACCUUACCAAGGCUUGACAUCCUCUGACAGCUCUAGAGAUAGAGCCUCCCUACGGGGCAGAGUGACAGGUGGUGCAUGGCUGUCGUCAGCUCGUGUCGUGAGAUGUUCGGUUAAGUCCGGUAACGAGCGCAACCCCUACGGUAAUUUGCCAGCAUUAAGUUGGGAACUAUUACAGGACUGCCGUUGACAAAACGGAGGAAGGUGGGGACGACGUCAAGUCAUCAUGCCCCUUAUGUCUUGGGCUACACACGUACUACAAUGGUAACUACAAUGGGCAGCCACACGGCGACGUGGAGCGAAUCUCAAAAGGUUAUCUCAGUUCGGAUUGCAGGCUGAAACUCGCCUGCAUGAAGCCGGAAUUGCUAGUAAUGGCAGGUCAGCAUACUGCCGUGAAUACGUUCCCGGGUCUUGUACACACCGCCCGU